RNAcentral lists this unclassified non-coding RNA (2396 nucleotides) under Neodiprion pinetum (white pine sawfly). RNAcentral's name for it is "annexin B11-like, transcript variant X5". The record is from RNAcentral. Lineage: Eukaryota; Metazoa; Arthropoda; Insecta; Hymenoptera; Diprionidae.
UUUGGCUGCUUGGUAGCUCUGCAAUUGCGUUGUCUGGUUUAGAUGUGAAAUUUGAAUGGUGUAUUGGAUAAGGACUCAUUUUGAAAGAAGAUAAAAAUAAAUAUAAAGCUUAGAAAAUGAACGAUCUAAGGGGAGAGUAAAAACGUGGUGGAAAAUUUUCAGAUCAUGUUUCUUUAUUUGCACUAUAGGGUGAUCUGAAACUCAUAUGGGUGCGAAAGAGAUAGGGCUAAUGACGCUUCACGGCGAAGCGAGGAACGGAUGAAAAAUUUGAGGUUAUGUCAGCAACGAUUGACAAGGUAUACCGAAGAGUAGCACGACCCUACGGCGGCUAAACUUCCCCCAAUUAGUUCAAAGGUCAUUCAUACCAUGGUCGAAUUUUCCACCACGAUUCAGACCAAUGGCAGCGACCUCUACCAGGAAAACGUUGAUACCUACUAAAUUUCGUUUGAAGCUCAGUGCAUCCAAAACCAAUAUAUUCAGAUUCAGACUGAAUCAUUCAGUCCAGACGUGUUAGAACCCAAGCUAGAACCGUGUCAACGGAACCGCGAGCAAAGAGCCGCAUUUUCCUUCGUACUUCUACCAGAGAGCUUCUACAGUAGAUCGAUUUUUAAUUCCUCCGAAACAAUGAGCUACGGAUAUCAAGGACCGCAGUACCCGGGCCAAAUGCCCCCAAACGCCAUGGGGGGUCCGCCAGGUGCCCCAGGGACCUCACCUUAUCCCAUGAAUCCCGGUGCAGGCUAUCCUCCUCCAACUGGGCAGCAGACUUACCCUGGAAUGCCACAGCCAUUUUCGGCCUAUCCUUCUACUCCUUAUCCACCUAAUCAACAGCAUUCCUCGAUGCCUUAUUCUCAGCACGCCGGACAUGAGCAGCAAGUUCCGCAACCCCAGCAUUACCAGAUGCAGCAGAACGCUCCACCUGGCACUUAUGCUCCACCCGCCAACAAUCCUUACCCAGGAAAUUCGGUUCCGUAUCCCAGCCAUCCGGCUCAGCCGGUAAAUGCUGCCCAGUAUCCUGGUCGCUUUGUUCCUUUUGAUACAAACAAUUCCACUCCUCCUUUUCCUCAGAAUACUGCAACUACGUUCCCAAGUAAUGCUAGCCCUCACGCACAAGGUUCGGGUCCCUAUCCAGGUGCCUAUAAUCCUGGCGGCCAGGGAAUUGCGCCUGCGUACGCACAGCAUGCUAGUGCGACCUCAUUUCCUCCUCAGCAUGGAGCUCCAGUCCCACAUCAGGGGCAGGCUCAGUCUAAACUAUCCCCGACUGUAGUGACUUAUCCCGGCUUCGAUGCAAGUGCUGAUGCAGGAGCGUUGAGAAAGGCAAUGAAAGGAUGGGGAACUGACGAGAAAACCAUCAUUAAUAUCCUUGCGAAUCGGACAAACCGCCAGCGUCAAGAAAUUGCCAUACAGUUUAAAACACUCUACGGCAAGGAUCUGAUUAAGGACUUGAAGUCUGAAUUAUCUGGCAAUUUUGAAAAUCUGGUUGUUGCUAUGAUGACGCCUAUUGCAGAAUUUUAUGCUAAGGAGCUACAUAAUGCCAUGUCCGGUAUGGGUACAGAUGAGUGUGUUUUGAUCGAGGUUCUGUGCACUAUGACCAAUCAAGAAUUACGUGUCAUCAAGCAAACGUAUCAAUCCUUAUAUGGGCAAUCUUUGGAAGACCGUCUGAGGUCAGAAACUUCAGGAUGUUUCAAACGCCUUAUGACAUCCCUUUGCUGUGCCAAUCGAGAUGAGUCAAAUUUCGUAGACCCGGCUGGAGCACAACGCGACGCUCAAGCACUGUUUAAUGCUGGAGUUGCACAAUUCGGAACUGAUGAAUCAGUCUUCAACCAAAUUCUGGUGUCAAGGAGUAUCCCACAAUUGCAGCAAAUAUUUGCGGAGUACGAACGUAUAGCAUCUCAUGGAAUUGAAAAUGCCAUAAAAAGCGAAUUCUCUGGAGACAUUGAAGAUGGUCUCCUUACAAUCGUCAGAUGCGUUAAAAAUCGCCCUGCUUUCUUUGCGAAACAAUUGUACAAGAGCAUGAGAGGAGCUGGAACUGAAGACGAUCGACUGAUUCGACUGGUCGUCACUCGCUCUGAAAUUGAUAUGGGGGAUAUCAAGAGAGAAUUCUCUCGGGAGUAUAAUCAAACUCUUGAACAAUUUAUAUCGGAUGACUGUUCAGGGGACUACAAGAAAUGUCUUCUCGCUCUGAUUUCUUAGAGCUUAGAGAGGGCCGACCAAAUUUUUUUCCUUAUAAAAUCACGUGUCACCUUGCUUCACGUUUUAAAUCAGAACAAAAUGCUUGUCAUGUAAUCUAAAAGUGUUGCUGUGCCAAAAUUGAAAAUAAUAUACAGUGUCGAAUUGUGACAGACGAUCGAAAUACUUGCAAAAGAAAAAACAAAUAAUCAAAAAAAAAAAAAAAGACA